UUGCGCUUGUGCAUCAGUGCAGAAUAAUGGGGAUAGUUAGCACACCCUUCUUGGAUGUAUCUCACAAAAUGCUAUACAUUAGGUAUGUUACUUGAUUGGGGGUUAUACUGCCGUUCCGUUAGCACAAAAUUUUGAAUCAAAUAUCUUUACUAAUAUGUAAAUAGUAUUAUUUUUACUAAUAAAUGCCAUAAAACAACAAUUACAUUUGAUUCUACGAUAGUUAGCUAGCUAGCAACACUAAAUUUAGUCAACCUUGUUAUGAAUCAGGUACCAAGUUGUGUUUAUUAUUUUACAACUAGCACGUAAAGAACAUAAACCGCUUUUUACUUAGAGAACUAUUGGCUGAUGCACAGAAUUUCUGCAGCAGCGACAUAUAUGAAAAGUGUUGUUUUUAAUGUUUAUCAAGGGGAACUAUAUAUCAUUAUCCAAUGGUGACUUUCAUAUUCUGGUACUCUUUGUUGGUUCUAUCUUGGGAGCAUACACAUUGAGUUGUCUUGGAAGUAUAUAUCCUUUCCAAAAAGCAAAGGUAAAAUUCAAGGACAGAAGAAUAUCAGUACAUUUUUUAAA
RNAcentral lists this long non-coding RNA (567 nucleotides) under Triticum aestivum (bread wheat). RNAcentral's name for it is "long non-coding RNA (TAES_LNC014767)". The record is from RNAcentral. Lineage: Eukaryota; Viridiplantae; Streptophyta; Magnoliopsida; Poales; Poaceae.